Molecule: ribosomal RNA, 1397 nt
Filed under: uncultured bacterium
Lineage: Bacteria
Description: partial 16S ribosomal RNA
Rfam family: Bacterial small subunit ribosomal RNA
Source: RNAcentral
GACGAAAACUUGUUCACCGCCUCAUGCUUAUCUGUCAAUACAAUCUAUUUUGAAUAUCUGAGUGCUAGUUGUCUACUACACUCCAUACUGGCAACCGCUUUAUGGGAUAUUCAUGCCUGCGUAACCUGCCUACCAUAUGUGGAUAACAUUGGAACACGUAUGCUACUCCCGUAUGACAGCGCAUGAUGACUAUUACCUGUUCUCCACAUUCCUCUGCUAUGUCUCUUGGAUGGACCUGCGAGUGCUUAGCUAGUUGGUAGGGUAACGGCCUACCGUGGCGAUCAUGCGUAGCCGAUUUGAGAGACUGUAUCGGCCACAUUGUGACUGAGACACUGGCCCAAACUCUCUACUGUGAGGCACCAAGAGGGAAUCUUCCAUCUUGGACGCAUCUCUGAUUGACCAACACCGCGUGAGUUAAUCACGGUUUCUGCUCUUAAAGCUCUGUUGCUGGCGAAUAAGGACAGGCGCAGUAACUGACCUGUGUUUGACCGUAAGCGAUUAUACAUCUCACGGCUAACUACUUGCCAGCAUCCGCGCUAAUAUCAAGGUGGCAAGCGCCGUCCGGAUUUAUUGUCCGUAAAGCGAGUGCAGGCGGCUCGAUAGUCUGAUGUGAAAGCCUUCGGCUCAACCGGAGAAUUGCAUCAGAAACUGUCGAGCUUGAGUACAGAAGAGGAGAGUGGAACUCCAUGUGUAGCGGUGAAAUGCGUAGAUAUAUGGAAGAACACCGGUGGCGAAGGCGGCUCUCUGGUCUGUUACUGACGCUGAGGCUCGAAAGCAUGGGUAGCGAACAGGAUUAGAUACCCUGGUAGUCCAUGCCGUAAACGAUGAGUGCUAAGUGUUGGGAGGUUUCCGCCUCUCAGUGCUGCAGCUAACGCAUUAAGCACUCCGCCUGGGGAGUACGACCGCAAGGUUGAAACUCAAAGGAAUUGACGGGGGCCCGCACAAGCGGUGGAGCAUGUGGUUUAAUUCGAAGCAACGCGAAGAACCUUACCAGGUCUUGACAUCCAUAGCCAGUCUAAGAGAUUAGAUGUUCCCUUCGGGGACUAUGAGACAGGUGGUGCAUGGCUGUCGUCAGCUCGUGUCGUGAGAUGUUGGGUUAAGUCCCGCAACGAGCGCAACCCUUGUCAUUAGUUGCCAGCAUUAAGUUGGGCACUCCUAAUGAGACUGCCGGUGACAAACCGGAGGAAGGUGGGGAUGACAUCAAGUCAUCAUGCCCCUUAUGACCUGUGCGACACACGUGUUACAAUGGACGGUACAUCGAGAAGCGACCCUGUGAAGGCAAGCGGAUCUCUGAAAGCCGUUCUCAGCUCGGAUUGCAGGCCGCAACUCGCCUGCAGGAAGCUGGAAUCGCUAGUAUUGGCAAAUCAGCACGUUGCGGUGAACACGUGCCCGGCCCG